GUGGUUUACAUGGUAAUCAACUCUUUCUUUAUAAAACAUAUUUUAGCGCAAUUAUGUUAUUUUUGUGUUAUAAAAUAAUGACAUUAACAAAAAAAAAAAAUAAUAAAAAUUCUGUGCAGGUGAACAAGGCCCUCAAGGCUUCAGAGGUGAACCUGGCCCUGCCGGGCCUAAAGGUGUGUAUCACAAUGAACACUUGGUAUGUUUUCAAAAAGCAUUAUAUAAACAAAAUCCGAAUGUUUAUAGAUUUAAAAAAAAAAAAAAUCUUUACAGGUGAAAGAGGUCCCUCCGGUCCACCUGGAAUUAAAGGUGAUCAUGGUGAUAGAGGAGAAAAUGGAAUGCCAGGUGUUCCUGGUGCUGCAGGACGACAAGGGCCAUCUGGUGAGAAAGGAGCUAAAGGAUCAGCAGGUGAUUCAUCUGUAGGAACAGACACAAACCUGAGAUUUUUGGCUUUUUGCCAUUUUAUUGU
This 466-nucleotide long non-coding RNA is filed under the name Sinocyclocheilus grahami. Its description in RNAcentral is "lncRNA (ENSSGRG00000022195.1)". The record is from RNAcentral. Lineage: Eukaryota; Metazoa; Chordata; Actinopteri; Cypriniformes; Cyprinidae.